Molecule: RNA transcript, 1219 nt
Organism: Pistacia vera
Lineage: Eukaryota; Viridiplantae; Streptophyta; Magnoliopsida; Sapindales; Anacardiaceae
Gene name: constitutive photomorphogenesis protein 10
Exons: 5
Source: RefSeq, a predicted model, not a curated record
CAAAAUUCAACUCAUGAGGUGAAACGGUGCGCAUUGAGUUAAAGCGAUGAGCAGCAUAGGAGGGAGUGGAGUUCUGGGAGGAGGAGCUUCAACUUCAUCAUGGGUCUCUACGACGUCCGUUUCCGCUUCAGGGAAGAGAAUUCAGAGAGAAAUGGCGGAGCUCAACUUGGACCCACCUCCAGAUUGCUCUGCUGGACCCAAAAGUGACAAUCUUUACAACUGGGUCUCCACCAUUAUAGGCCCUACUGAGUUACCAGCGAACCUUUUGUUCCUCCUAACAAGUGGAGAAGAUGGAGAUAAAACUCCUUUGGGCUAUGUUGUUUUGAAAAUUAGACCAAGGGACUAUUUAUCAACAACUAAGUGUUGUGAAUCUGUAGGACGAUCAAGGGAUCGAAGAAUUGCUCACGUGAGCUACUUGGAGGAGUGCAGCAGCGUUGCCAUCAAGCUCCCGUUCCUCCUCCUAAUAGGUGGAAAAGAUGGAGAUGAACUUGUGGAGACAAAUUCAGGCUGGUUGGGUUGUUUGAAAAUUAAAUGUGAGGGUGGUUCAGCUAAGAAAGUCCUGAAGUAUAAAGUUUUGGUUAAGAGGAGCGCAAUUUGCCUGAGUUUCUCCAUUCAAAGGAACACCGUACCAGGGAGGUAUAUUUUUUCUCGACAUAAUAUUUCCAAGUGAUUAUCCAUUUAAACCUCCAAAGGUGGUGUUUAAAACUCGCAUCUUCCACUGCAAUGUUGAUUCUGCUGGCAAUGUUAGUUUGGACAUCUUGAAGGAUAGUUGGAGUCCAGCUUUAACAAUUACAAAGGUGCUGCUUGCAAUCAGAUAAUCCAAUUGUCCCUGGCAUUGCUCACUUGUACUUGGCAGAAAGGGCUAAACAUGAUCAACUAGCUGCAGAGUGGACACAUCGAUUUGCCAAAUAAAAGAAUCGCAUGAUGAGUUUGGUGAGUAUCGUAUUAUUGUCUUUUCUACUCGGUAUUCAACUUUCUUGUAAAUUCCUUAGCAGCCAGUCGAAUAUAAUCAUCUCAGAUCAUGCUCAUCGCAAAUUGUAUAAUAGUCAUUGCGUAAACAUCUGCAGACCUUUUAUUCAAUGUGAACUGUAAAGCCUCGGUGAAACUAUCGAAUGUUUGAUAUUUAACCAAGAUGUAUUAGCUUCAUGCAAUUUUCUUUUCACCUCAUCCGGAUGAAUCUUGCAAGAGUUUACGAGCAACAUCACUCAUCAGUUAUCAA